This 202-nucleotide long non-coding RNA is filed under the name Mytilus galloprovincialis (Mediterranean mussel). Lineage: Eukaryota; Metazoa; Mollusca; Bivalvia; Mytilida; Mytilidae. The record is from RNAcentral.
GUUUGGAUGAUACUACUAGGUUCAUUAUAAAGUGUCUUAGACAACACUUUAAUAUGUGUGGAUAAUACCUUACUAGGUUCAUUAUAAAGUGUCUUACCCAGCAAGAUUAAGAAAUCAAUUCUGUCAAUUCAUUAGCUAGUACAUUUGUAUUGCUCUAACAAAACUUGACCAACAACAAAAACAUGAGUGACUUAAAUAUCUC